GAUGAACGCUGGCGGCGUGCUUAACACAUGCAAGUCGAACGGAAAGGCCCAAGCUUGCUUGGGUACUCGAGUGGCGAACGGGUGAGUAACACGUGGGUGAUCUGCCCUGCACUUCGGGAUAAGCCUGGGAAACUGGGUCUAAUACCGGAUAGGACCACUUCUUGGAUGUUGUGGUGGAAAGUUUUUUCGGUGUGGGAUGAGCUCGCGGCCUAUCAGCUUGUUGGUGGGGUAAUGGCCUACCAAGGCGUCGACGGGUAGCCGGCCUGAGAGGGUGUACGGCCACAUUGGGACUGAGAUACGGCCCAGACUCCUACGGGAGGCAGCAGUGGUGAAUAUUGCACAAUGGGCGCAAGCCUGAUGCAGCGACGCCGCGUGGGGGAUGACGGCCUUCGGGUUGUAAACUCCUUUCGCUAGGGACGAAGCGUUUUGUGACGGUACCUGGAGAAGAAGCACCGGCUAACUACGUG
This 467-nucleotide ribosomal RNA is filed under the name uncultured bacterium. Its description in RNAcentral is "partial 16S ribosomal RNA". It matches the Rfam family "Bacterial small subunit ribosomal RNA", at positions 28 to 507 of the family's 1533-position model. The record is from RNAcentral.